Papaver somniferum (opium poppy) is the source of this 2129-nucleotide long non-coding RNA. RefSeq lists it as uncharacterized. NCBI's taxonomy places the organism in Eukaryota, Viridiplantae, Streptophyta, Magnoliopsida, Ranunculales, Papaveraceae. The transcript has 3 exons. The record is from RefSeq and is a predicted model, not a curated record.
CACCACCACCAUCCACCACCCUCCACCUCCAGUUUCAUCCUGUUUGAGUGUCACCACCACCGCUACCACCACCGCCCUCUUCUUCGUUUCUGAAUCUCAAACUCGAAUCUGAAACUAAACGAAACCAGCCAACAUUGAAGGAGAAUCACCACCGUCAUCCUCCUUCAACCUUCUUUAACUUCUCAUUCAAAUUCACCACCACCACCAGUACCAAAUUCGUUCUCUUCAUUCUACACCACUACCACAAAAUUACCAUUGACAGUUUAACACUAUCUUCACCACUUCUGAAUCGAUUGAGCCGCCACCACCACCACUAACUACCGUAACCAGAAACACCAUCAGCACCAUCUUAACCAGCAUCAACACAAUCACCGGGUUUCAUUCAUUUCAGGGGAAUAUUGAAUGUUGAAUACUGCUCAGUUGAGAGGGUUUAAGGGAAAGGAAGGAGAUGGUAACUAUCUCAGCAUCUCUUUGUUAAAGCAGUGGUGGUUUUCCUCUAGCAGUGGGUUUUGGCUGAAAUUGUUGCGGGGUAGUUCUUCAGAUGUGAAUGAAAAAUUUGAUUUUAAGUGUUACUGCUGCAAGAAAAGUGGGGUUUCUUGCUGCGAAUCAAAAGGAACUGAUUGGGAUUUUCGAGAGAGUAAAAUCAUGACUGGUGAUUCAGCUGAUAUGGGUAAGUAGUGACUUCGUACUCUCUUGAAAUCAUGAUUAAGUGCCAGCUGCAAAGCUAGGCCCUUAUGUUGGUUGUAUUGGGGUGUAUAUGAACUAAGUUCUCAAGCAACUGAACAAUGAAGAAUAGAUGGUUAUGUCCUUGAGAUUAAAGAAGUCUAUGGUUUGUGGUGCCGGUAGUUGAGAUAAAUAAAUUACUACAAUAAGCAUCUUCCAUGGUGCGUUUUUUAGCCAAGAAUUCAGCACGCCUAUACUAAUCGAUGUUGAAAGUGCAGAAAUACGAAAUCAGCACAUCAGUGGGAUUGGGCAUGGAAAUUAGUUUUCUCUGUACAAAGUUUGGAGCCCGUUCGUAGGGUACUAUAGGAACUCUAGACCUAAAUUGAAAGCUAACAUUUUGGGUUUCUCUUAAUACCUUCAGUUUGGAAUUUUCUGUUUGUGGAAAUGCUAAAUAGAAAUUUAAUCACACGCGUUAUAUAAGCUAUCUCCUGCAAACUUCAGCUCCUUAACCCAGAUCUAUUAAUGGAGGGCAAGCUCCCUCAUUUUCGUCGAAGCCCUAGACUAAUUGAGCUGACGCGCCAAAGAGAUGUUCCACUACAAGUGCACGAAUUUUGGCUAAACAAGAAUGUGACUCAAUGUCUAUAAUUGAUAAGUAAGCAAAGAUGUUCCAAUGCUUAAUGCUUAUUAUAUGAAGAGAAUAUAUGAGGUGGUGAAAACAAGAAUCAGUGAGCGGGAAAAGACAACAACUUUGAAUUUUGUUUAUGACUUUGCUACCACAGUAACAUUUACAAGUUUAGAUCUUUUCAAAUUAAUAAGCGAACUGAUGUAGGUAAACUGGAUCGGAGUGGCAAAGGAAGCAGUAACUCUCAAGGUAAUGCAGAAAGUAGUGGCAAUACAAUAUUCAUUCACGGAAGCCCCAAAAUAGUUGAGCAAUUAGUGGAUGCUGAUAGAGAAAGAGGUGAGAAAUGCUGCCACGAGUAGUGGGAUUCAGAUAAUGAAGCAAACAGGAAUCGUUGAUAAUAACUGGAUGCUGAGAAAGAAGUACCCCAAGAAACACUGCCAUGGAUUAGUGGAUUCAGAUAACAAAAUAAACUAAAAUAAAUGUCAUCAUGUGGACCUGCAACAUAAAUAUCUCUGAGUACAGAUGCGUCCUACUGCGGAAAGGGCAAGACGGUUCAGAAACAAAUGUGAAUUGUUAAUGAAAGGGCAGGUGAUGCAACUAAAAUGAUAUGUUUUGCGGGUUUUGAAACGGAAUGGCAGGCGCAUCCCGCAUGCGGGUUAUACUAGUAUAUAUAACUAAAAACAUCUAGAUAAAAGUUUGAUAAUCAAAGCUGAUUAGAGAAAUUUAUAGAUUAUUAAUGGAGAGAGUAUCUUUCUAUCAGUUGUAUCCGAUAAGUUGGUUAAUAUUGACCAAUUUUGUUGUUGUUAAAUAUAUGAUACUUACAUUCUAGACCCCUUAUGUUAAA